Long non-coding RNA from Alnus glutinosa, 700 nucleotides. RefSeq lists it as uncharacterized. NCBI's taxonomy places the organism in Eukaryota, Viridiplantae, Streptophyta, Magnoliopsida, Fagales, Betulaceae. The record is from RefSeq and is a predicted model, not a curated record. The transcript has 3 exons.
CUCUCGCUUCUCCAUUCGCAACUCUCCCUUCGGCCCUUCUAAAAUCCCUCCCCACAGCAGAAUAUCACAAUACAGCCUGAGGAAAAAACACGAAAUCCACCGGAAACCCACCGAAAAUCCAGCAGAAUAUCCCCUGUUUUUCUAUCGUCACAGGAAACCCAGCGGUCAUCCCCUUUCCCUCUUCGGUUUGCUGCAACACGAGACACCAAGAGAGACAGAAAGGGAACGAGAGAGAGAGGCUAGGCCGAGAUAGAAGCGGCGCACAAUGGUGACGAUGGUGAAGCUAUUGGAAGCAAGAAAAAGGACGUUUGGAAAGGACUUUGGAAAGGACUCGGGUUGAACUCCAAGACCCUGGAGAUUCAGUGCUUUUGUUGGAGGUUCGAGCAGAUCUUCAAAAGAAAGAGAAGAAGCUGAGAGACAUCUUGAGGAGUGGAUGCUGCAUGUUAAAGAGGUUCCAAAAGUGUCAAGAAGACGGCAUAGAUCACCAUUUCUUAUUCUCUCAAGUCGACGUGAAAUUAGCGUCGAGGGUCUUAAACAUGUCUAGGAUUACAUCCGACCAACUAGUUUGGUGUCGCAGUAAAUUAAGUCAGAUUGGUUUUGUGAACAAAAAGAUGCAUGUAGAACCAUCCUUCUUGCUUUUUCCAUGUUGACAGCAUUAGCUUUGUCACGGCACACAUGUACACAAUAGAUAUUAGAUAGA